This 422-nucleotide ribosomal RNA is filed under the name Sphingobium sp. C1-1. RNAcentral's name for it is "bacterial SSU rRNA". It matches the Rfam family "Bacterial small subunit ribosomal RNA", at positions 27 to 494 of the family's 1533-position model. Lineage: Bacteria; Pseudomonadati; Pseudomonadota; Alphaproteobacteria; Sphingomonadales; Sphingobiaceae. The record is from RNAcentral.
GAACGAACGCUGGCGGCAUGCCUAAUACAUGCAAGUCGAACGAGAUCCUUCGGGGUCUAGUGGCGCACGGGUGCGUAACGCGUGGGAAUCUGCCCUUGGGUUCGGAAUAACAUCGGGAAACUGAUGCUAAUACCGGAUGAUGACGAAAGUCCAAAGAUUUAUCGCCCAGGGAUGAGCCCGCGUAGGAUUAGCUAGUUGGUGGGGUAAAGGCCUACCAAGGCGACGAUCCUUAGCUGGUCUGAGAGGAUGAUCAGCCACACUGGGACUGAGACACGGCCCAGACUCCUACGGGAGGCAGCAGUAGGGAAUAUUGGACAAUGGGGGCAACCCUGAUCCAGCAAUGCCGCGUGAGUGAUGAAGGCCUUAGGGUUGUAAAGCUCUUUUACCCGGGAUGAUAAUGACANACCGGGAGAAUAAGCCCC